UGGGGAAUAUUGCACAAUGGGGGAAACCCUGAUGCAGCGACGCCGCGUGGAGGAAGAAGGUCUUCGGAUUGUAAACUCCUGUUGUUGAGGAAGAUAAUGACGGUACUCAACAAGGAAGUGACGGCUAACUACGUGCCAGCAGCCGCGGUAAAACGUAGGUCACAAGCGUUGUCCGGAAUUACUGGGUGUAAAGGGAGCGCAGGCGGGAAGACAAGUUGGAAGUGAAAUCCAUGGGCUCAACCCAUGAACUGCUUUCAAAACUGUUUUUCUUGAGUAGUGCAGAGGUAGGCGGAAUUCCCGGUGUAGCGGUGGAAUGCGUAGAUAUCGGGAGGAACACCAGUGGCGAAGGCGGCCUACUGGGCACCAACUGACGCUGAGGCUCGAAAGUGUGGGUAGCAAACAGGAUUAGAUACCCUGGUAGUCCACACCGUAAACGAUGAUUACUAGGUGUUGGAGGAUUGACCCCUUCAGUGCCGCAGUUAACACAAUAAGUAAUCCACCUGGGGAGUACGACCGCAAGGUUGAAACUCAAAGGAAUUGACGGGGGCCCGCACAAGCAGUGGAGUAUGUGGUUUAAUUCGAAGCAACGCGAAGAACCUUACCAGGUCUUGACAUCCGAUGCAUAGCACAGAGAUGUGUGAAAUCCUUCGGGACAUCGAGACAGGUGGUGCAUGGUUGUCGUCAGCUCGUGUCGUGAGAUGUUGGGUUAAGUCCCGCAACGAGCGCAACCCUUAUUGCCAGUUACUACGUUAAGAGGACUCUGGCGAGACUGCCGUUGACAAAACGGAGGAAGGUGGGGAUGACGUCAAAUCAUCAUGCCCUUUAUGACCUGGGCUACACACGUACUACAAUGGCGUUAAACAAAGAGAAGCAAGACCGCGAGGUGGAGCAAAACUCAAAAACAACGUCUCAGUUCAGAUUGCAGGCUGCAACUCGCCUGCAUGAAGUCGGAAUUGCUAGUAAUCGCGGAUCAGCAUGCCGCGGUGAAUACGUUCCC
RNAcentral lists this ribosomal RNA (997 nucleotides) under uncultured bacterium. Its description in RNAcentral is "bacterial SSU rRNA". It matches the Rfam family "Bacterial small subunit ribosomal RNA", at positions 355 to 1375 of the family's 1533-position model. The record is from RNAcentral.